Molecule: ribosomal RNA, 920 nt
Filed under: uncultured archaeon
Lineage: Archaea
Description: bacterial SSU rRNA
Rfam family: Archaeal small subunit ribosomal RNA
Source: RNAcentral
UUCCGGUUGAUCCUGCCGGACCCGACUGCUAUUUGGGUGAGGAUAAGCCAUGCGAGUCGAAUGGGAUACCUAAAUUUCCCAUGGCGAACUGCUCAGUAACACAUGAUCAACUUAACCUAUUGAGAAAGAUAACCUCGGGAAACUGAGGAUAAUAUUUCAUAGUUGAAUUGGCUUGGAAAAGUUUUUCAACAAAAGGGAUAGGGAAAAUGGUCUCUAUCCGCUGUAGGAUAGGAUCGUGUUCGAUUAUGGUAGUUGGUGAGGUAACGGCUCACCAAGCCGAUAGUCGAUAGGGGCCGUGAGAGCGGGAGCCCCGAGAUGGGUACUGAGACAACGACCCAGGCCUUACGAGGCGCAGCAGGUACGAAACCUCCACAAUACACGAAAGUGUGAUGGGGUUACCCAAAGUGUUCGUUAUUGAACUGUGGUAGGAGAGUAAUGUCCCCUACUAGAAAGGAGAGGGCAAGGCUGGUGCCAGCCGCCGCGGUAAAACCAGCUCUUCAAGUGGUCGGGAUAAUUAUUGGGCUUAAAGUGUCCGUAGCCGGUUUAGUAAGUUCCUGGUAAAAUCGGGUAGCUUAACUAUCUGUAUGCUAGGAAUACUGCUAUACUAGAGGGCGGGAGAGGUCUGAGGUACUACAGGGGUAGGGGUGAAAUCUUAUAAUCCUUGUAGGACCACCAGUGGCGAAGGCGUCAGACUGGAACGCGCCUGACGGUGAGGGACGAAAGCCAGGGGAGCGAACCGGAUUAGAUACCCGGGUAGUCCUGGCCGUAAACGAUGCAUACUAGGUGAUGGUAUGGCUAUGAGCCAUAUCAGUGCCGUAGGGAAACCGUUAAGUGUGCCGCCUGGGAAGUACGGUCGCAAGGCUAAAACUUAAAGGAAUUGGCGGGGGAGCACUACAAGGGGUGAAGCCUGCGGUUCAAUU